Molecule: long non-coding RNA, 1603 nt
Organism: Manis javanica (Malayan pangolin)
Lineage: Eukaryota; Metazoa; Chordata; Mammalia; Pholidota; Manidae
Source: RefSeq, a predicted model, not a curated record
CAUUGUUUGGGGGAAAAGUAACAGGAACCUCAGGGACAGUCCCCAGAGAGCCCCCAGUACAACUGCUCUUAGUGGGCCUCAAGUCAUUCUGCUCAAUUCAGUCACUCAUCCACCCACUUAUAGAUAUUUCUCGAGAAUGAUGCUCCAGGAACUGGGAAAGGUAAGGCAGUGCCUGCCGUGCAGGAUGUCCCAGUCCAACAGGAGCCAGGAAAGAAGAGCCCUGCAUGCAGAACCAGAGGAGCUACAGGAGCAUUCCGGGGACCUCAGGAAAAGCUGUCGCCACUACAUGCAGUGGCUGAUAGGAAGACUCUGCUCAAGCCGGUACCCAAGCCCAGUCAGAUCACCCCUCCUAAGAUCUCAGGACGUGGAGUGGAGCAGCGAGGUCUGAAGGAGUAAAGAAAGUGGAGAGAGGAGCAGAAGGCAGUGUCGCUACGGCAGCUAUAAGGUCUUCUGCAGGGACCUCCUGAGUGGCAGAACUGCUAUGGACAUAGUGCAGCCACUUGCUCUAAGCUUAGCAAUAUGGAAAAAUGGUGGGGAUGCGUAAAUGCCCACUUCCAAACUCAUCAUUAUAAUAACGUAUUUUCUCCUGCUUGUUUUUCACCAAAAACUCAUCUGGAAAAAAUGGUCACUGGAAAUAUUUCAAAAAGCUUUCUGUUUUCAAAAGGAAAGCCUAUGUGAGGAGACAGAGAGGACCCUCAUCAUUUGUGGAUGCUACAUAUGCAAAUCCCCCGAGACGCUGAAAUGUGUUUGUAACGCCCACAUCAGUCCUUAGGCCACCGUCAUGGUCAUUUACAAAGAAGAGGAAAUUUAAGUUGUCCAAGGCAUGUGCUCCUGGCACAGGAGACAUUCGGCCUUGUUUCAGCUCCCACCCUCUAAACAAAUGUCCUUUCCACGGUCUAUUUAGGGCAACACUUCUGUUUUUGUUGGUGGUUUUACGUUUUAAAAAGGCCCCCAGGAGUGGCCUGUCGCAAGUGAUGUCCACUGCUCCUGAGAGCAGGAAGGUGGUGACGGGCCUGAUGGAGCCAGUAGGUGCGUUGGUGACCCUCCUUCAGGCGUGAGAUGUAGUGCUGGGGGCUAGGAGUUCAACAGGAGCAAAUCAGUAAUAUGUAUUAAAAAGGAGUCUUUAAACAGAAACACACACAAUGUAAGAGUACAAAUUGAUCCCUUGACAAAAUGUUGUGACCAGAACUCACAGAAACUGAAAGUCCUCAUAAGGAGAGGGAAAUCUGGGCACACGCACACACACAGAAUACCACGUGAAGACAGAGGCUGGAGUGAGGCAGCCGCAAGCCAAGGGAGGCCUGGAGCCCCUGGAAGCUGGGAGAGGUGAGGACUGAUCCACCCUAGAGGCCGCGGAGGGAGACUAGCCCUAUGAAUACUUUGGCCUCCAGAACUGUUUACAUUACCUUACGCUGGUCCUGUGGUCAACAGCAUCAAAAGCGUUGCAGUAGGCUAACUGCUGCCCAGGAACCCAACCUUGAGUGAUGGGGCAGGAUUGCUGUAAAUGACCACCCUCGAUAUAUCAUCACCCAUAGCUAUACUUUGCUGUACUUUUCUAUUCACUUUUAUCAGCAUCCCAAAACUGCCUGCACAGUGUUCUUAC